This 449-nucleotide ribosomal RNA is filed under the name uncultured bacterium. RNAcentral describes it as "partial 16S ribosomal RNA". It matches the Rfam family "Bacterial small subunit ribosomal RNA", at positions 354 to 796 of the family's 1533-position model. The record is from RNAcentral.
GUCGAGAAUCUUUCACAAUGGGGGCAACCCUGAUGGAGCGACGCCGCGUGGAGGAUAAGGUCUUCGGAUUGUAAACUCCUGUCAUGCGUGAACAAGGUUGCUUGGAUAAUACCUGAGCAAAUUGAUGGUAGCGCAAGAGGAAGAGACGGCUAACUCUGUGCCAGCAGCCGCGGUAAUACAGAGGUCUCAAGCGUUGUUCGGAAUCACUGGGCGUAAAGGGUGCGUAGGUGGCGUGGCAAGUCAGAUGUGAAAGCCCGGGGCUCAACCUCGGAACUGCAUCCGAUACUGCCAUGCUAGAGUACUGGAGGGGUGACUAUAAUUCUCGGUGUAGCAGUGAAAUGCGUAGAUAUCGAGAGGAAUACCAAAGGCGUAGGCAGGUCACUGGACAGUUACUGACACUGAGGCACGAAGGCCAGGGGAGCGAACGGGAUUAGAAACCCCAGUAGUCC